Non-coding RNA from Podarcis lilfordi (Lilford's wall lizard), 69 nucleotides. Lineage: Eukaryota; Metazoa; Chordata; Lepidosauria; Squamata; Lacertidae. The record is from the annotation of a GenBank genome assembly.
GCUGUAGUUCAGUGGCAGAACACCUGCCUUGCAUGCAGAAGGUCACAGGUUCAAUGCCCAGCAUCUCCA